ACGCAAGUAACAUGAAAAAAGCCAUGGACGAGAUGGGUGUGUCGAGUUUGGGGUGCUUCGCACACUCUCUUCAACUGGUGUUACACAAAGUCCUAUUAUCACAGAGAAGUGUGAGUGAUGCGCUGGCGAACUGUAAGAAGAUAGUCGGUCAGUUCAGACACUCGCCAUUGGCCACAACGCGCCUGGAAGAUAUUCAGAGGGAUCUAAAAAUCCCCACCAAACGUUUGCACCAAGACGUGGCGACGAGGUGGAAUAGUACUUUUUAUAUGGUAUAGAGUUUACUUGAGCAGAAGCAGCCGAUUUCAGCGUACGGAGCAGAUCACGACCUGCCAGCCACACUAACAGCCAACCAGUGGGCUUUGCUGGAAAAAACUGUCACUGUUUUGGCACCAUUUGAGCAACUGACCAGACAGAUUUGCUCCUCCACCUCGUCUGUAGUGGAAGUCAUCCCCUCAGUUACAGUUCUAAAACGGCUACUUGCUCGGGAGAGCCAGGAGGAUACCGGUAUAAAAACAAUGAAAACUACCCUUCUUGAGGCCGUCAAGAUACAAUUCUCAACCAUCGUGGAAGAGCCCUUGUAUGCAGUUGCAACUCUCUUGGAUCCACGUUUGAAAGACAGAUACUUCUCAAGUGCAGACAACAUCAAGCAUGCAAAGGAUGCUCUGACAGUAGAGAUGGAAAAGAUUGAGAAGUCACUGACAAUGACCACCACAACUGUGGAGAGAGAGUAGAUUGAAGGGCCUGUUUGAGGAAAUCCUGCAGGAGCAUGAUGAGGAACAUGGCGCAUGUACUACAAGCACACAUGUUCAACUUCAGACAUAUGUGAUGGAGCAAACUAUCUCACACUCAGACAGCCCAUUCCAGUACUGGGCAGUCAACCAAGUUCGAUUUCCUUGUUUAUCAUAUAGAUUUAAAAAGGGUAAUCUUGUACUAAAGAGAUAUAAAAAUACAAAGAGAAAAAAAUGUUGAAACUUUGUCAUCAACAAAAUGAAGUGCAUUAUAAGCAAUAGGCUGUUUUAGACAGGGCAAUUUAAAAGAUAAAAAAAAAAAAAAAAAAAAGAA
Long non-coding RNA from Ctenopharyngodon idella (grass carp), 1062 nucleotides. RefSeq lists it as uncharacterized. The transcript has 2 exons. The record is from RefSeq and is a predicted model, not a curated record. NCBI's taxonomy places the organism in Eukaryota, Metazoa, Chordata, Actinopteri, Cypriniformes, Xenocyprididae.